CGUUGCUUGGCUGGACCAGCCGGCGAGCCAGGCUCCCGGGCGCCACCUGGUGGCCUUUCUGGUGGCGAGGGGUGCCCGAGGUGCUCACCUCCAGAAUCCAGCCACCACUUUUUGAGGAAGCCCAGGCCACAUGGAGAGGCCACAUGUAGGAGUUCCAGCCCACAGCACCAGCUAAGAUUUCAGCUGCUCCAGCCAGUGUUGACUGCCAGACAAGUGAGUGAAGAAGAUGAUUCCAGCCUUCAGAAUUCCAACUGAGGACCCAGACAUUAAGAAGCAGAGAUAAUGAGUCUGGAAUAUGAAUUUGAUGGCUGGUAUUCCAGCUGCCAUCUUGGACCAUGAGGAUGGAGCCACACCCUAGGGAUGGCAGAGUGGGAACCUGAGGCUUUCCUGCUGCCAAGAUGCUCACCUGGACUUUUAAGAUCAGGGCCCAGGCUUCAUGACGAGGAUAGAGAAACUGUCUGGCUGUAAGACUUGGACUCAAUGCAGAUUCCUCAUCCAGAAAGAGAGCUCUGGGCCGCACGCUUCUGAAGACCCUUCCGGCUCAAACCCAUGUGCUCAGCGUUAUCCACAACAGCCAAAGGGUAGAAAAAACUCAAGCGCCCAUCUACAGAUGAAUGGAUAAACAAAAUGUGGUCUAGCCAUACAACAGAUUAUCCAGCCUUAAAAAGGAAGGAAAUUCCGACACAUGCUCCAACAUGGAUGACCCUUGAGGACAUUACGCUAAGUGAAAUCAGCCAGUCACAAAAAGGACAAAUACCACGUGAUUCCACUUGUAUGACAUACCUAGAGUAGUCAAAUUCCUGGAGACGGAAAGCAGGGGAAUGGGGAGUUGUUCUUUAAUGAACAUAGAAUUUCAGUUUGGGAAGAUGAAAUGGUUCUGGAGAUGGAUGGUGAUGAUGGUAAUUCCAGUGACCUGUGCAUUUGCAAAUGGUUAAAG
This 937-nucleotide long non-coding RNA is filed under the name Equus caballus (horse). RNAcentral's name for it is "lncRNA (ENSECAG00000051648.1)". Lineage: Eukaryota; Metazoa; Chordata; Mammalia; Perissodactyla; Equidae. The record is from RNAcentral.